CUUCUACGAUGAAGACAUUUUCAAAGAAGUUCCUUGAAUCUCUCCCAAGCAUGUGAGGCUGCUUCAUCAUUCCCUUGCUGAAACAAAAAAUAUCAUUUCUAAAACU
Cynara cardunculus var. scolymus (artichoke) is the source of this 106-nucleotide small nucleolar RNA. The record is from RefSeq and is a predicted model, not a curated record. Lineage: Eukaryota; Viridiplantae; Streptophyta; Magnoliopsida; Asterales; Asteraceae.